AUUGAACGCUGGCGGCAGGCCUAACACAUGCAAGUCGAGCGGAGGAAGGGAGCUUGCUCCUGGAUUCAGCGGCGGACGGGUGAGUAAUGCCUAGGAAUCUGCCUGGUGGUGGGGGAUAACGUCCGGAAACGGGCGCUAAUACCGCAUACGUCCUGAGGGAGAAAGAGGGGGAUCUUCGGACCUCACGCUAUCAGAUGAGCCUAGGUCGGAUUAGCUAGUUGGUGGGGUAAAGGCCUACCAAGGCGACGAUCCGUAACUGGUCUGAGAGGAUGAUCAGUCACACUGGACCUGAGACACGGUCCAGCCUCCUACGGGAGGCAGCAGUGGGGAAUAUUGGACAAUGGGCGAAAGCCUGAUCCAGCCAUGCCGCGUGUUUGAAGAAGGUCUUCGGAUUUUAAAGCACUUUAAGUUGGGAGGAAGGGCAGUAAGUUAAUACCUUGCUGUUUUGACGUUACCAACAGAAUAAGCACCGGCUAACUUCGUG
RNAcentral lists this ribosomal RNA (484 nucleotides) under uncultured bacterium. RNAcentral describes it as "partial 16S ribosomal RNA". It matches the Rfam family "Bacterial small subunit ribosomal RNA", at positions 30 to 507 of the family's 1533-position model. The record is from RNAcentral.